GAUCUGCUCAGGAUGAACGCUAGCUACAGGCUUAACACAUGCAAGUCGAGGGGCAGCAUCAUCAAAGCUUGCUUUGAUGGAUGGCGACAGGCGCACGGGUGAGUAACACGUAUCCAACCUGCCGACAACACUGGGAUAGCCUUUCGAAAGAAAGAUUAAUACCGGAUGGUAUAGUUUUCCCGCAUGGGAUGAUUAUUAAAGAAUUUCGGUUGUCGAUGGGGAUGCGUUCCA
This 231-nucleotide ribosomal RNA is filed under the name uncultured bacterium. Its description in RNAcentral is "partial 16S ribosomal RNA". It matches the Rfam family "Bacterial small subunit ribosomal RNA", at positions 15 to 240 of the family's 1533-position model. The record is from RNAcentral.